AUGCACGCUGGCGGCGUGCCUAAUACAUGCAAGUCGCGCGAACGGACGAGAAGCUUGCUUUUCUGAUGUUAGCGGCGGACGGGUGAGUAACACGUGGAUAACCUACCUAUAAGACUGGGAUAACUUCGGGAAACCGGAGCUAAUACCGGAUAAUAUUUUGAACCGCAUGGUUCAAAAGUGAAAGACGGUCUUGCUGUCACUUAUAGAUGGAUCCGCGCUGCAUUAGCUAGUUGGUAAGGUAACGGCUUACCAAGGCAACGAUGCAUAGCCGACCUGAGAGGGUGAUCGGCCACACUGGAACUGAGACACGGUCCAGACUCCUACGGGAGGCAGCAGUAGGGAAUCUUCCGCAAUGGGCGAAAGCCUGACGGAGCAACGCCGCGUGAGUGAUGAAGGUCUUCGAAUCGUAAAACUCUGUUAUUAGGGAAGAACAUAUGUGUAAGUAACUGUGCACAUCUUGACGGUACCUAAUCAGAAAGCCACGGCUAACUACGUG
Molecule: ribosomal RNA, 496 nt
Filed under: uncultured bacterium
Lineage: Bacteria
Description: partial 16S ribosomal RNA
Rfam family: Bacterial small subunit ribosomal RNA
Source: RNAcentral